CCUACGGGAGGCAGCAGUGAGGAAUAUUGGUCAAUGGACGAGAGUCUGAACCAGCCAAGUAGCGUGAAGGAUGACUGCCCUAUGGGUUGUAAACUUCUUUUAUAAAGGAAUAAAACGUGGCACGUGUGCCUUUUUGCAUGUACUUUAUGAAUAAGGAUCGGCUAACUCCGUGCCAGCAGCCGCGGUAAUACGGAGGAUCCGAGCGUUAUCCGGAUUUAUUGGGUUUAAAGGGAGCGUAGAUGGGUUGUUAAGUCAGUUGUGAAAGUUUGCGGCUCAACCGUAAAAUUGCAGUUGAUACUGGCAGUCUUGAGUACAGUAGAGGUGGGCGGAAUGCGUGGUGUAGCGGUGAAAUGCUGAGAUAGCACGAAGAACCCCGAUUGCGAAGGCAGCUUACUAGACUGUAACUGACAUUGAUGCUCGAAAGUGUGGGUAUCAAACAGGAUUAGAGACCCGGGUAGUC
RNAcentral lists this ribosomal RNA (460 nucleotides) under uncultured bacterium. RNAcentral's name for it is "partial 16S ribosomal RNA". It matches the Rfam family "Bacterial small subunit ribosomal RNA", at positions 338 to 795 of the family's 1533-position model. The record is from RNAcentral.